RNAcentral lists this unclassified non-coding RNA (224 nucleotides) under uncultured fungus. RNAcentral's name for it is "sequence contains ITS1, 5.8S rRNA gene". The stretch from base 176 to 224 matches the Rfam family "5.8S ribosomal RNA", at positions 1 to 49 of the family's 154-position model. The record is from RNAcentral. Lineage: Eukaryota; Fungi.
UUUCCGUAGGUGAACCUGCGGAAGGAUCAUUACACAAUUUGGCCGUAACAAGCCUCAACCCUUCUCUACGCGCACCUUUACAUUCUCCCUCGGCGGGGUAACGCCCGCCGUCGGAACCAACAAACCCCUUUUGCAUCUAGCAUCCUACCCGUUCAGAUAAAAACUUAAUAGUUACAACUUUCAACAAUGGAUCUCUUGGCUCUGGCAUCGAUGAAGAACGCAGC